Molecule: RNA transcript, 2831 nt
Organism: Rhodamnia argentea
Lineage: Eukaryota; Viridiplantae; Streptophyta; Magnoliopsida; Myrtales; Myrtaceae
Gene name: protein LNK2-like
Exons: 8
Source: RefSeq, a predicted model, not a curated record
UCUCUCUCUCUCUCUGCGUGUCUUUGUGGCCUGUUAUUUCCUGGGGUUGAAGAAUUAAUGGCCUUUGUGAUUGUUUUGGUGAUCUGUUAGGAAAUUGGCCAUGUUUGGAGUUAUUUACAAGGGUGUCCCUCGACUGGAUUUUCAUGUAGUGAUUUGGUGUUGUUUCACCAGAUAUGUUUGAUUGGAACGACGAAGAGGUUGUGCUUUGUAAAUGCCAUCCCGCCACUCCCUUCCUCACUCGUGUACCAAUAACGAAUGGAAUUUGCGGCAUUUAUUGCAAUUGGAAAUAUUCUCACUAAUAUCAUAUGGGGUGAGGCUGGGGAAAAUGGCGAACAUAUAGUCCCUUAUCCAGCUGGAAAGGAAGAUGAUCAGCCCAAGCAAGUACAAAAUGAAGACAUCGCGACCCUUAGGCCUAGUGAACAGAAGGCGCUCCUUUCAAAACUCGAUCUCCGUGGCAUGAAGCUGGAAUGCUUCAACAGAAACAACAAAAAUGGAGGGAUUUUUGUAUCAAGCUUGGACUCGUGGCCGUAUCUGUCUCCAUCGGAAGCUGCUAAAGAUGAGCAAGGAUCUGUUGGCGCUGGAGUGCCCGAUAAUGUGACAGAAAUUAACGAAUACAAUUCAUCUAAAGGUGGUGAAAAUGCUAUUUUUUGUGACACGAAGCACACAGCACAUGUUGAGUUGACUAGGGAUAUUUCUAAUACUUAUCGCCAAACAUCAAUUUCUCCAGCGGAGACGGCUCAACAUGAUGCAGAUACUGAUAUAUUUGAAAACACCCAAGGUAAAGAGCAUACUGAUUUUGCUGACUAUGGAUGGGAGAAUAUCAGCAGCUUUGAUGAUCUUGAUCGAAUAUUUAGCAAUGAUGAUCCAAUAUUUGGCGAAGUAAAUCUUGAUAACGCUGAUGAGAUAUGGUCUUCUUCUAAAGAUGCAACAAGCAGUCCAGUAAAAUCAUUUUCCGUUUCUGCGGAUUGUCCUGGUUUGAUUUCUGGAGCAUUGACGAGCUCAUCAGAGAUCCUGCAAGUGAAAACAGAAUAUGAGCAUCAAGAUGAGCAGUCUUUCAACCUUGGUUAUGACAAAAUGAAUGAGCCCGCAUCCAUUAGUUUUCAGCAAAGAAAUGUGAUUGUUGAACCGGUGGUGAAGGAUCAGAAGAAUAUGGCCAUGGUAGGAAAGACCCAUGCAGAAAACUCUCAUCUUUUUGUUGAUAGUACUUUUACCCUGAAUGAACGUGCUGAUAAGGUUUACAGGCAAAAAACACCCUAUAAAAGCCAGAAGAAGUCCCGAGAGAAAGCUGAAGGGAAAUUAUCACAAGAUAUUUAUGGGUCCCGGUAUUCGCAUGUGGAUUUGGGGGGACAGUACAGCCACCAGUUAUCGCCCUUUCCAUCAUCUAUCUAUCAACUAAGUGGGACUAGAGGAAAUGAGCCUACCCAUUACCAGCAGAUCUCUGAUCCAUAUGCGCAAUCUGCUGCAUUCAGGAACUAUGCAGAAUCAUUUCCAGCAAUAAUUUCACCAACGAGCUUCCAGUCCGGGGAGGUCAUGUGUCAGACCGUGUUUCCAGGGUACGAGGUGUCUGCUGCUUAUGUCGACUCUACAGGAAAGAGGCUCGAUUCCCCAGGAAAACCUCCUACGAUGACGCCCCAAGAGAAAAUUGAAAAGCUGAGGCGGCGCCAGCAAAUGCAAGCAAUGCUUGCUAUAAAGAAACAGCUACAGCAGUUUGGCGACCAAGUCUCCAGUCCAUCUGAUGCUCAAAUGCUUACUCUGGAAAGUCCGAAUCAGCAUAGCAAGGGGGCUCAUUUGGAAGUUGAUGAUCUGAGCAGUCUUCCUUCAACUGACAUAAGUUCUUCUAUAGAGCAGGAUAGUUCUACCUUCGUCUCUGCAGCUGUUGAUGGCCGUUCAAUUGAGGAUGUGGUGCUUAAUCGGCUUCAGGAUGUGAUUGCAAAGUUGGACGACAGGACGAGAAUCUGUAUACGGGAUAGCUUGUAUCGCCUGGCCAAAAGUGCCGUGAAAAGGCAACACACUGGUAAUGUGAUUGGCACUGUUGUGCAUCCACAAGAGCAUGAAGUCUUGGCAAAGGAGGAAGCAGAGGCUCUUAACAGGUUGGUUAACAUACUUACGGGUGGUCUGCCAUAAUUACGUUGCCAAGGUGACUUGAUAUAGGAUAAUUCAUCUGGUAUGAGCGGCAGCAUCUAAUUUCAACCGUGAUCUAGUUUGAAGAUGGCCUUGUUGGUGUGAGGACGAUAUUCUACUUCUGUUUUUCAAGAGUAGAGUGACAUUUUAGGUCCUGUCCUUGAUGAAAUUUUUAGAUCAACCAAAGAAGCAAACUGAUUCCUAUUUUAAGGAACUUAAUUACUGCAAGAUGGAUGCUUUUCUUUUUCUAUUGCAGUUAUACAGUCCUCGAUGCCCUGGCUUUAAUGUUCAUGUCCUGAAGUGUUGCAAUAAUUGUUUUAGUUUUGCUCCCAUCCUUGUUAUCUGUCAGCUUGAUGAUAAAGCCCUUGGGUGACGUAAAUUACCCGAUGAUGAGAUAGGAUGGAGGGGAAAAUUGAGAAGACAAAAAAUGCAAAAGAUCAGGUGCAAUAACUAGGAAAACAAUGUGUUUUAGGAUAAACUCUUUUCUUGAUUUCAUCUAUACUCGUGCCAAAAAAUUGGCAAAACAAAGUUUCAGGUGUAGGAGCUUGAAACUUGACAAACCGUCUUCAAUUGAAGUAGAAACUUGUUCACUGGUAUAACUUUCUUCAAGUUGAAUCUCUGGCACCAAAGAUAAGUUCACUGUCCAUUUUAUAUUGCUUGUUGUUACAGGGAGGUUAAGCCAGCUGAUGUUGAAACAGACACCAAUCCAA